GACGAAUGCUGGCGGCGUGCCUAAUACAUGCAAGUCGAACGCUUCCUACCGGUGCUUGCACCGGGAAAGAAGAGUGGCGGACGGGUGAGUAACACGUGGGUAACCUACCUACAAGCGGGGGAUAACAUUCGGAAACGGAUGCUAAUACCGCAUAGAUCUUUUUGUCUCCUGGCAGAAAGAAGAAAGACGGUUUCGGCUGUCAGUUGUAGAUGGACCCGCGGCGCAUUAGUUAGUUGGUGAGGUAAUGGCUCACCAAGACGAUGAUGCGUAGCCGACCUGGGAGGGUGAUCGGCCACACUGGGACUGAGACACGGCCCAGACUCCUACGGGAGGCAGCAGUAGGGAAUCUUCCGCAAUGGACGAAAGUCUGACGGAGCAACGCCGCGUGAGUGAAGAAGGUUUUCGGAUCGUAAAACUCUGUUGUUAGAGAAGAACAAGGAUGAGAGUAACUGCUCGUCCCUUGACGGUAUCUAACCAGAAAGCCAUGGCUAACUACGUGCCAGCCGCCGCAGUAA
RNAcentral lists this ribosomal RNA (515 nucleotides) under uncultured bacterium. Its description in RNAcentral is "partial 16S ribosomal RNA". It matches the Rfam family "Bacterial small subunit ribosomal RNA", at positions 28 to 523 of the family's 1533-position model. The record is from RNAcentral.